Molecule: non-coding RNA, 1535 nt
Organism: Heterocephalus glaber (naked mole-rat)
Lineage: Eukaryota; Metazoa; Chordata; Mammalia; Rodentia; Bathyergidae
Source: RefSeq, a predicted model, not a curated record
UCACCGUGUCACAGAGCACCCAGCCUAGUCCUGCGGGUCCUGGCCCAGCUGCCCGGGAUACAGCUAAGCUCAGGCCAUUUCUCUUUGCAUUCAAAGUGGGUGGCUGAAGUCCUGCCUACGUGAGAUGUUCCCUUCCCCAUCGUCUCUCGGGAGUGGGCCCCCCUACUUCUCUGUCGGGACCUUGGCUCUAGCAGAGAAGAAUUGGUGAGGCUGUGAACUCGGCCAUCUCUGAGGUCCUGCUUUUGGUAAAAUGACCCAGGCCAGGUCGUCUGUGGGUGCAGGGGCAUCUGCUGUGCUGCCACAAGGCCCGUCCUAACCACCUCAGAGUAACGUGGUUAUCAGUACUCACCUCACUUCACACCUGAUCGGUUCACCAGUGUGGGGGAUUAGGACUCUGCGUCUUUGGGAGCUGCCACAGUGCAGUGUAACAGAUGGUACUGGGUGUUGGCCCAGGGCCCACUGUGCACUGCUGUCGCUCUGCGGUCUCCACUCCAGACCACCUCCACUGUGGGUACCAUCUGAACCCGCACUUUGUCUGCAAGACUCUGCUCCACUCUCAACACCAGAGUCUCAAGAAGAAAGCAAGCUGCGGCCGUGGUCAUUUUCAUCCCAUUUCUACCAACGUGCAGCUAGUAACUUCUCUCAUGAAAGAACAAGUUUGCUUUCCCUGCACAAGCCAGCACCCACACCGCAAGCCCUGCCUCCGAGGCUUUGGCGAAGGGCAGGACUGCACAUCCUGCUCUUCCCGGGCCCUGCAGCUGGCCCUGUGUGACUCCCGAGGCCGGGAUCAGGAGUGCUGGGAGCCAGAGGUUUCCACUCUUUAUAAUUAUUCAUUAACUGCUGGAAAGCCUGGAUUUUGCAGAAUUUGCAUCCUGACAUCACCAAGAAAUCAAUGAUAUUUAUUUUUUUAGAAAGAUACUUUGUAUCCAUGGUUGUCAAAGGCAUUUUCAUGCUGCAUGUCUUUGUUUCUUCUGAAAUAAGCCACCACAGCUUGGAAGAACCUAGUAGAAUAUGAUCUGGUUGGUGAUUUUCCCCCACUGACUUAAAUCCAGAAGAAAAAAAAAAACAAAGCCAACCUGAAUGAUGAAUGGUGCUUUCUAGAGGCUGGGGAAAGGCUGGUAAAGGGAGGCCAGAUUUGACACACAUAUUGAAAUAUCACACUGAACCCUGUUGCCAUGUGCAAUUAAUACAUGUUAAUGAAAAUAGUCUUGAAGGUAGGAGGAUCAAGACCAUGGCGUGGUCUACAUUGCAUUUCCCUUUUAGACAUGACGGAUCCAGGGGUUUUCCAGGUCAAUUCUGCAUCGGAACAGAGGAGGACAUUGUACCACGGAGGCCGUGGUGAUUUUUCUGAGGUCCAGGGCUGGCUUGUGUGUUAGCUAGGACCAGAACGCAGGACCGCUGGCCCCUAGCUGAGGUCAGUGUCAACUGUACAAGGAUGAAGGAGAGGAAAGGGAGAGGAAGAAACUCAAGUAUCAGGAUCAACAGGAAAGGUUAGACCCCAAAGGGUUCCUGCCAAGCAUUAACUUCAUGGGAGG